GACGAGCGCUGGCGGCGUGCCUAAUACAUGCAAGUUGAGCGCUGAAGGUUGGUACUUGUACCAACUGGAUGAGCAGCGAACGGGUGAGUAACGCGUGGGGAAUCUGCCUUUGAGCGGGGGACAACAUUUGGAAACGAAUGCUAAUACCGCAUAAAAACUUUAAACACAAGUUUUAAGUUUGAAAGAUGCAAUUGCAUCACUCAAAGAUGAUCCCGCGUUGUACUAGCUAGUUGGUGAGGUAAAGGCUCACCAAGGCGAUGAUACAUAGCCGACCUGAGAGGGUGAUCGGCCACAUUGGGACUGAGACACGGCCCAAACUCCUACGGGAGGCAGCAGUAGGGAAUCUUCGGCAAUGGACGAAAGUCUGACCGAGCAACGCCGCGUGAGUGAAGAAGGUUUUCGGAUCGUAAAACUCUGUUGGUAGAGAAGAACGUUGGUGAGAGUGGAAAGCUCAUCAAGUGACGGUAACUACCCAGAAAGGGACGGCUAACUACGUG
RNAcentral lists this ribosomal RNA (497 nucleotides) under uncultured bacterium. Its description in RNAcentral is "partial 16S ribosomal RNA". It matches the Rfam family "Bacterial small subunit ribosomal RNA", at positions 28 to 507 of the family's 1533-position model. The record is from RNAcentral.